GAUGAACGCUGGCGGCGUGCCUAAUACAUGCAAGUCGAGCGAACGGACGAGAAGCUUGCUUCUCUGAUGUUAGCGGCGGACGGGUGAGUAACACGUGGAUAACCUACCUAUAAGACUGGGAUAACUUCGGGAAACCGUAGCUAAUACCGGAUAAUAUUUUGAACCGCAUGGUUCAAAAGUGAAAGACGGUCUUGCUGUCACUUAUAGAUGGAUCCGCGCUGCAUUAGCUAGUUGGUAAGGUAACGGCUUACCAAGGCAACGAUGCAUAGCCGACCUGAGAGGGUGAUCGGCCACACUGGAACUGAGACACGGUCCAGACGCCUACGAGAGGCAGCAGUAGGGAAUCUUCCGCAAUGGGCGAAAGCCUGACGGAGCAACGCCGCGUGAGUGAUGAAGGUCUUCGGAUCGUAAAACUCUGUUAUUAGGGAAGAACAUAUGUGUAAGUAACUGUGCACAUCUUGACGGUACCUAAUCAGAAAGCCACGGCUAACUACGUG
This 497-nucleotide ribosomal RNA is filed under the name uncultured bacterium. RNAcentral describes it as "partial 16S ribosomal RNA". It matches the Rfam family "Bacterial small subunit ribosomal RNA", at positions 28 to 507 of the family's 1533-position model. The record is from RNAcentral.